Molecule: ribosomal RNA, 301 nt
Filed under: uncultured bacterium
Lineage: Bacteria
Description: partial 16S ribosomal RNA
Rfam family: Bacterial small subunit ribosomal RNA
Source: RNAcentral
CAGUCGCCACGGUAAUACGAAGGGUGCAAGCGUUACUCGGAAUUACUGGGCGUAAAGCGUGCGUAGGUGGUGGUUUAAGUCCGUUGUGAAAGCCCUGGGCUCAACCUGGGAAUUGCAGUGGAUACUGGGUCACUAGAGUGUGGUAGAGGAUAGUGGAAUUUCCGGUGUAGCAGUGAAAUGCGUAGAGAUCGGAAGGAACAUCUGUGGCGAAGGCGACUAUCUGGGCCAACACUGACACUGAGGCACGAAGGCGUGGGGAGCAAACAGGAUUAGAUACCCCUGUAGUCCCUGUCUCUUAUAC